RNAcentral lists this long non-coding RNA (364 nucleotides) under Lathyrus oleraceus (garden pea). RNAcentral's name for it is "Pisum sativum (pea) long non-coding RNA (PSAT_LNC003812)". Lineage: Eukaryota; Viridiplantae; Streptophyta; Magnoliopsida; Fabales; Fabaceae. The record is from RNAcentral.
GUGCUUUUGGUUGUUGCUAUAACCGGAGGAAAUGAAAAAAAUGAAAAUCGUGAAUGUUCGUAGGAUCGUUGUUGGUGGUGGUUCACCUUCUUUCUUUUUGUUAAUGCACUUUUCUUUUCCACUUUCACAAUUGCAGAAUGGAGGACUAUAAAUAAGUGAAAAAAGUUGAUUAUACAAAUAUGAAUGAAUCCUAACGAAAAUUCCAGUGUUGCUUUCGAAACACAUAAAGCAAAGAAGUCAUAGAUAGAAGUUAGAAUUUCGCGUACCUUCAAGAAGUUUCUGGCAAGGCAGUUCAAUCGCGAAGGUUGACCGUUGGAUGUAUCAGCGGUGAUGUCGGAAGUUCAACGGUGAUGUCGGAAGUUCA